CUAGUAAUCGCAGAUCAGAAUGCUGCGGUGAAUACGUUCCCGGGUCUUGUACACACCGCCCGUCACACCAUGGGAGUCGGAAAUGCCCGAAGUCAGUGGCCCAACCGCAAGGAGGGAGCUGCCGAAGGCAGGUCCGGUGACUGGGGUGAAGUCGUAACAAGGUAUC
This 166-nucleotide ribosomal RNA is filed under the name uncultured bacterium. RNAcentral's name for it is "partial 16S ribosomal RNA". It matches the Rfam family "Bacterial small subunit ribosomal RNA", at positions 1335 to 1500 of the family's 1533-position model. The record is from RNAcentral.